UACGGGGGGGGCAAGCGUUGUUCGGAAUUACUGGGCGUAAAGGGCGCGUAGGCGGCCUGUUAAGUCGAACGUGAAAUCCCCGGGCUCAACCCGGGAACUGCGUCCGAUACUGGCAGGCUUGAAUUCGGGAGAGGGAUGCGGAAUUCCAGGUGUAGCGGUGAAAUGCGUAGAUAUCUGGAGGAACACCGGUGGCGAAGGCGGCAUCCUGGACCGGCAUUGACGCUGAGGAGCGAAAGCGUGGGGAGCAAACAGG
Molecule: ribosomal RNA, 253 nt
Filed under: uncultured bacterium
Lineage: Bacteria
Description: partial 16S ribosomal RNA
Rfam family: Bacterial small subunit ribosomal RNA
Source: RNAcentral